Molecule: transfer RNA, 74 nt
Filed under: Colletotrichum noveboracense
Lineage: Eukaryota; Fungi; Ascomycota; Sordariomycetes; Glomerellales; Glomerellaceae
Description: tRNA-Ile
Rfam family: tRNA
About the family: Transfer RNA (tRNA) molecules are approximately 80 nucleotides in length. Their secondary structure includes four short double-helical elements and three loops (D, anti-codon, and T loops).
Source: RNAcentral
GCUCCCAUGGUGUAGCUGGUUUGCACAUUGCUCUUAUAAUGCAAAGGUCGUGAGUUCAAUCCUCACUGGGAGCA